This 820-nucleotide ribosomal RNA is filed under the name uncultured Sporomusa sp. Its description in RNAcentral is "bacterial SSU rRNA". It matches the Rfam family "Bacterial small subunit ribosomal RNA", at positions 33 to 838 of the family's 1533-position model. The record is from RNAcentral. Lineage: Bacteria; Bacillati; Bacillota; Negativicutes; Selenomonadales; Sporomusaceae.
ACAAGGGCGGCUUGCUACCAUGCAAGUCGACGGGGAGUUACUUGUAACUCCUAGUGGCGAACGGGUGAGUAACGCGUAGACAACCUGCCUCUAAACUGGGGACAACACCACGAAAGUGGUGCUAAUACCGAAUGUGGUAUCUUGAUCGCAUGAUUGAGAUAAGAAAGAUGGCCUCUAUUUAUAAGCUAUCGAUUAGAGAUGGGUCUGCGUCUGAUUAGCUAGUUGGUGAGGUAACGGCUCACCAAGGCGACGAUCAGUAGCCGGUCUGAGAGGAUGAACGGCCACACUGGGACUGAGACACGGCCCAGACUCCUACGGGAGGCAGCAGUGGGGAAUCUUCCGCAAUGGACGAAAGUCUGACGGAGCAACGCCGCGUGAGUGAAGAAGGUUUUCGGACUGUAAAGCUCUGUCGUUUGGGACGAACGUGGGUAGAGUGAAUAAUUCUAUCUAAUGACGGUACCAAAGGAGGAAGCCACGGCUAACUACGUGCCAGCAGCCGCGGUAAUACGUAGGUGGCAAGCGUUGUCCGGAAUUAUUGGGCGUAAAGGGCGUGUAGGUGGAUCUUUAAGUCGUGUGUCUAAGUGCGGGGCUCAACCCCGUAUAGGCGCAGGAAACUGGGGAUCUUGAGUGCAGGAGAGGAAAGUGGAAUUCCCAGUGUAGCGGUGAAAUGCGUAGAUAUUGGGAGGAACACCAGUGGCGAAGGCGACUUUCUGGACUGUGUCUGACACUGAGGCGCGAAAGCUAGGGGAGCGAACGGGAUUAGAUACCCCGGUAGUCCUAGCCGUAAACGAUGGGUACUAGGUGUAGAGGGUAUCGACCC